AGUGAACGCUGGCGGUAGGCCUAACACAUGCAAGUCGAACGGCAGCACAGUAAGAGCUUGCUCUUACGGGUGGCGAGUGGCGGACGGGUGAGGAAUACAUCGGAAUCUACUUUUUCGUGGGGGAUAACGUAGGGAAACUUACGCUAAUACCGCAUACGACCUACGGGUGGAAGCAUGGGAUCUUCGGACCUUGCGCGAUUGAAUGAGCCGAUGUCGGAUUAGCUAGUUGGCUGGGUAAAGGCCCACCAAGGCGACGAUCCGUAGCUGGUCUGAGAGGAUGAUCAGCCACACUGGAACUGAGACACGGUCCAGACUCCUACGGGAGGCAGCAGUGGGGAAUAUUGGACAAUGGGCGCAAGCCUGAUCCAGCCAUACCGCGUGGGUGAAGAAGGCCUUCGGGUUGUAAAGCCCUUUUGUUGGGAAAGAAAAGCAGCAGGUUAAUACCCCGCUGUUCUGACGGUACCCAAAGAAUAAGCACCGGCUAACUUCGUG
Molecule: ribosomal RNA, 492 nt
Filed under: uncultured bacterium
Lineage: Bacteria
Description: partial 16S ribosomal RNA
Rfam family: Bacterial small subunit ribosomal RNA
Source: RNAcentral